GGCACGCUCACAUAUGGAACCUUAUGAGAUGUUAUUUUAUGGGUUCUAAUUACACAGGUGACUAUUUCUAUUGUAAGGAUAAAGGGUUCGUUAUGUCUAAUAUGGUAUGGCCUUUUGACCUUAUCAUGACUGUCUUCUGAGGUCUGAUCAGCCUCAGGGGAGAGUCAUUUGUAUAAUGAAUGGAGUCAUAUUGAGUUACUAGUUUUAAGGUAAAUUCAUUAGAAAUGAAGCAGUUUUGGUUGAGGGGUUAGAAUUACUGUUUGAACCGCAAAUGAGAAAGUGGUUCAGGAUUCUGUCUUAUAACAUUAGCUGUGAAGUUGUUGAAUGGGCUAUUAGUGAUUUGGUAUUGUAACAGAGAGAAAGUCAUAUUCAUCAUUGAGAAUAAAUAGGGGAAGAUAACAUAUUUUGAGCCAACAGGGCAGGGAAGAAAUUGAGAUAUUUUUGUUUGGUUUUAACACCCGUGUACAGGAGUGUCAAAAGACGGGGGACAUUACCUGUGUAAUGGGGGAGGGUGUCCGUAUGGGGAUUACAUGAUAACCAACUUGGGACAGUUCUGGGAUUGGAGAAGAGGAUAUCCUUAUGGCAUAGGGGAUCCCACAAAGGUGGAUAGGUUUUCCAUGAUAUGGGGGAAACCUGGGAGCACUGUUGAACUUUGUAAAGGUGAUGAAAUCCUACUAACCAUCAAAACUAUUAAGCUCUCUGAUGCAGGCACUUACACCCUCGGACUACAAAGGACCAUGUCAGACACGAUGGGUGUGUUUUCUAUUAAGGUACUGCCAAAACCAGAGGUCCCAGACGAACCAGGGCCAGACACACUCCUCUACCACCCCUGGACCGAACCUGCCACCACUGGGUUAAAAAUCCCAUUCAGGUAACACAGCUCCGGACGAAUCAGUGCCGAAGCCUCAGCUGUUUUGACCACCCUGGCUCACGGGUUGGCAGAAACUCUGGGGUGGAUACUUCUCUGAACUAAAUUGGGUUGACAGUAUUUAUGGAAAAAUGUGGUGUUAUGGGCCACCUUCACCUGUGUGACUGUGUUAGUGUUGUACGUACGUGGUUGAUUGCGUGUAUGUAUGAAAGUUAUUGUUUCCAGGACUAUGGAGAGAUCAAUGACACUACAGAUGGUGCGUUAUGGGCCGAUUCCAGGUUCUGACCCGUGGAGGACUGAAGGCAUGUCUACAGAGGAAGUGGACGAAUCUGGAUCUUUCAUUCGUGGGGAAUUUAUGUUUGAUGAGAAUAGUGUUGAGAUGAAGGGGAAUUAGAUUGUAAUUUGUUUCAAUGAUUAAACUGUUUUUUAAUAAAGAUUGUAACAAAAAUCCUGAAA
Molecule: long non-coding RNA, 1324 nt
Organism: Oncorhynchus nerka (sockeye salmon)
Lineage: Eukaryota; Metazoa; Chordata; Actinopteri; Salmoniformes; Salmonidae
Exons: 2
Source: RefSeq, a predicted model, not a curated record